This 566-nucleotide long non-coding RNA is filed under the name Homo sapiens (human). RNAcentral's name for it is "HSALNT0364514". Lineage: Eukaryota; Metazoa; Chordata; Mammalia; Primates; Hominidae. The record is from RNAcentral.
GUCUUCAUUUGCGCUAGACAAAAGACAAACAAUCCUUCCUUGAAUGGACCCACUCUUCUUUUUUCACUCAUCUCCUCUCACUGAUCUCCCUGCUGGUGGUGGCGGAUAGAAGGCAGAGAUGUGGUCAACACCAAAUGAGAUUAUGUUCUGGGAAUUCAGAGAUUACAGUCUGAAGAAUUCAAGAUAAGGUAUGACCUCCAUAAAGAACCUUCAUAUCAUCUUGCCCUGCAUGAAAUAUAUUAGAAGCCUUUGCUCUGGUCUUUCAUGGUACUUUUAAAGGAUAUUAUCAUUUACAAAAUGGAAUACCAAUGACUUUUCACAAGUGGUCUAUCAACUAAGCAUGUACUUAAGUAAAUAUUUUCAGAGGAUUUCAUUAACCUCUGAGUGAAUAGUUGAAAAAAAAGAAUGAAACAGAUAUAAGUCCAUGUUUUUAUUUGUAAAUAAAUGUAUUGCCAAAAUUACAUACAAAUAACAAAUAAUGUCUCGAGUGACAUGCAAUGAUCAAAAUCCUCAAAAGAAUACUUUUGUUUAGUAGAGAUUUGAACAAAUAAACUACAAUUUAAGGA